RNAcentral lists this ribosomal RNA (256 nucleotides) under uncultured bacterium. RNAcentral's name for it is "partial 16S ribosomal RNA". It matches the Rfam family "Bacterial small subunit ribosomal RNA", at positions 524 to 777 of the family's 1533-position model. The record is from RNAcentral.
UACAGAGGUCUCAAGCGUUGUUCGGAUUCAUUGGGCGUAAAGGGUGCGUAGGUGGCGCUGUAAGUCGGGUGUGAAAUUUCGGAGCUUAACUCCGAAACUGCAUUCGAUACUGCGGUGCUUGAGGACUGGAGAGGAGACUGGAAUUCAUGGUGUAGCAGUGAAAUGCGUAGAGAUCAUGAGGAAGACCAGUGGCGAAGGCGGGGUCUCUGGACAGUUCCUGACACUGAGACACGAAGGCCAGGGGGAGCAAACGGGG